RNAcentral lists this ribosomal RNA (501 nucleotides) under uncultured bacterium. Its description in RNAcentral is "partial 16S ribosomal RNA". It matches the Rfam family "Bacterial small subunit ribosomal RNA", at positions 30 to 523 of the family's 1533-position model. The record is from RNAcentral.
AUUGAACGCUGGCGGAAUGCUUUACACAUGCAAGUCGAACGGCAGCACGGGGGCAACCCUGGUGGCGAGUGGCGAACGGGUGAGUAAUACAUCGGAACGUGCCCAGUCGUGGGGGAUAACGUAGCGAAAGUUACGCUAAUACCGCAUACGAUCUACGGAUGAAAGCGGGGGACCGUAAGGCCUCGCGCGAUUGGAGCGGCCGAUGUCAGAUUAGGUAGUUGGUGGGGUAAAGGCUCACCAAGCCGACGAUCUGUAGCUGGGCUGAGAGGACGACCGGCCACACUGGGACUGAGACACGGCCCAGACUCCUACGGGAGGCAGCAGUGGGGAAUUUUGGACAAUGGGCGCAAGCCUGAUCCAGCCAUUCCGCGUGCAGGAUGAAGGCCUUCGGGUUGUAAACUGCUUUUGUACGGAACGAAAAGGCUCUGGUUAAUACCUGGGGCUCAUGACGGUACCGUAAGAAUAAGCACCGGCUAACUACGUGCCAGCAGCCCGCAGUAA